CAGUUGGGAAUAUUGCACAAUGGGCGCAAGCCUGAUGCAGCGACGCCGCGUGAGGGAUGACGGCCUUCGGGUUGUAAACCUCUUUCAGUAGGGAAGAAGCGUAAGUGACGGUACCUGCAGAAGAAGCGCCGGCUAACUACGUGCCAGCAGCCGCGGUAAUACGUAGGGCGCAAGCGUUAUCCGGAUUUAUUGGGCGUAAAGAGCUCGUAGGCGGUUUGUCGCGUCUAUCGUGAAAGACCAGGGCUCAACCCUGGUUCUGCGGUGGGUACGGGCAGACUAGAGUGAUGUAGGGGAGACUGGAAUUCCUGGUGUAGCGGUGAAAUGCGCAGAUAUCAGGAGGAACACCGAUGGCGAAGGCAGGUCUCUGGGCAUUUACUGACGCUGAGGAGCGAAAGCAUGGGGAGCGAACAGGAUUAGAUACCUGGGGGUAGU
Molecule: ribosomal RNA, 432 nt
Filed under: Arthrobacter sp.
Lineage: Bacteria; Bacillati; Actinomycetota; Actinomycetes; Micrococcales; Micrococcaceae
Description: bacterial SSU rRNA
Rfam family: Bacterial small subunit ribosomal RNA
Source: RNAcentral